Molecule: long non-coding RNA, 1765 nt
Filed under: Gossypium barbadense (sea-island cotton)
Lineage: Eukaryota; Viridiplantae; Streptophyta; Magnoliopsida; Malvales; Malvaceae
Description: long non-coding RNA (GBAR_LNC005553)
Source: RNAcentral
CUGUUGAAACCAAAAUCAGGACCCAAAUGUAACGCGCGCAAACUCGCAAGGACGGAAAAAACAAAUAAACCAUGCCCCAGAACAAUUCAUUUCCGCGCGGACUGAAAUGAGUAGACGCACAAAUUCUUGGGACAAUUUAAAAAAAAAGGAAAAUAUAAACAGGUUUUAAUUACAAGUCAGUGCAAAAAGGGAGGGACCAAACGCGCAACUUAACCAUUUAAAGAGAAUAUGCGCGUAAACCAAGUCAAAACGCGUUCUGUUUCUUCCCCCCAAAAAAGAAAUGCUAUUUUAUUUUAUUACUUAAAUAAAAAAACUGUUUUAAAAUCAUUUGAUUUUUGCGUUUAGAAAAAAAACCUAAUGCUCCCAAAUCUCUUUACCUUUUCUCUCCAGCCGAAAAGCUAUGUUCAAGCUUUCAACCGCCCGCUUGUACCGGCGAAGUAAGGCCCUCCAAUGGUGCGAGCACGACGCGCGAUAAGUUUAUUCUCCUCUCUCUGAUCCUUCGCAUGUGUUGUGGAUCCAAAUGAAAAAAAGAAAAAAGAGGAAAAAUAGAAUAAAAUUGCAGUAAAUAAUCACCUUAGAAGUAUUCUUGGUUGCUUUUCUACUAAUUUUCAUAUGUAUUUUGUAUUAUCACUCGUCCGUCAAAAAAAACAAAUGAAAAUUCGUGGCCUUUUAUAGCCAUUUUUACAUCUGUUUCUUCUCCACUAGUUGCAGGUAUGGCGAACGUGGUUCGAAGUGCAAGGAUGUGGGGCGGGCAAUACGCGAGUCAAGGGGUCGUGUGUGGGGCGUGCGUUGGUGGCUGCUGGUGGCUGCGGCGCAAGGCAAAUAGAACCCUAGGGCUUGCUAUUUCUGAAAACGAUUUGGGCCAUUGGGCUUGUGUAAUCAAGUAUUGGGCCAUUGCAAAGUUUUGGGCCUAGUGUAACUAUAUUUGGGAUUGUUUUUUUUGUUUUAUUUUUUCUGUAUAUGUAUGGGCUCGGGCUAAAAAUUGAGUCUACAACAGUGAUAUAAAAGUUUCUCAAAGUUUGUUUUACAUUUAAGGGCACACAUGACAUUUUAUAAAAAUUGUUCUAACACUUUAAUCAAACUAAGAAAACUACAUAAAUUUAAGAUGUCUCCCAAACAUUAAGCUAAUUAUUCCUUAUGUUUUAAGAAGCCAUUUUAAUACUCAUAUAAUAAAUAAGGUUUUCUUAUAUUUUUACACGCGAUAUUAAGAUUUUAUAUAAGAGAAAGAGAACAAACAUUUAGUUAACGAUAACUAAGUAAGAUAAAUUGAAAAAUCGAAAAACGACCUAAAUUAAAGUGUUUGAACUAUUUAUGAAAUACAAAUUUAAAGUGGUUACUUGAAAUCGAACUAAAUUUUAUUUUUAUUUAAUAUAUAAAUUAUUUUAAUUUUUUAUGGUAUAAAAUAAAUAUUUUAUAUUUAAAAUAGUAAAAUAUUUAAACGAAAAAUUAUUUUGUUUUAUAAAUACUAAUGAAAAAAAUUUAGAAAUUUUGUCAAAUCAUAUUCAAAAAUUAUAAAACAAAGUUUAUUUUGUUAAAAUAAAUUUAAAAAUAGAAAAUCAAACAUUAAUAUAAAAAUCGAGAACCGAACCGCACAUCGAAUUAUGAAAAAUUAAAAAAUCUAAAAAAAUCCCAUCAAACAUAUCACCCUAGACUGAAUUAUAAUUUUCUUAAUUUUACUAGAAAAAGAAAAGGCAAAUAAGAGAGCAGAAUGGUCUAAUCUAAUUCUAAAAAAAAAAAAAAAAUCAGAUUGCAUGCAAAUUGUCCG